GACAGAGGAUGCAAGCGUUAUCCGGAAUGAUUGGGCGUAAAGAGCGCGUAGGCGGUCCGGUAAGUCGGUUGUGAAAGUCGGGGGCUCAACCCUCGGAUGCCGAUCGAUACUGUCGGGCUAGAGUCCGGAAGAGGCGAGUGGAAUUCCUGGUGUAGCGGUGGAAUGCGCAGAUAUCAGGAAGAACACCAACGGCGAAGGCAGCUCGCUGGGACGGAACUGACGCUGAGGCGCGAAAGCGUGGGGAGCGAACAGG
RNAcentral lists this ribosomal RNA (253 nucleotides) under uncultured bacterium. RNAcentral's name for it is "partial 16S ribosomal RNA". It matches the Rfam family "Bacterial small subunit ribosomal RNA", at positions 524 to 776 of the family's 1533-position model. The record is from RNAcentral.